GUAAAGCGUGCGUAGGCGGAUUUUUAAGUCGAAUGUUAAAUAUACGGGCUCAACUCGUACGCUGCAUCCGAUACUGGAAGUCUUGAGAGUGGAAGAGGCAAAUGGAAUUCCCGGUGGAGCGGUUAAAUGCGUAGAUAUCGGGAGGAACACCAAUGGCGAAGGCAGUUUGCUGGGCCAUUUCUGACGCUAAGGCACGAAAGCGUGGGGAGCGAUCGGGAUUAGAUACCCCGGUAGUCCACGCCGUAAACGAUGUCUACUAGCUUUUUCGGGUAUCGACCCCUGGAGAAGCGAAGCUAACGCGUUAAGUAGACCGCCUGGGGAGUACGAGCGCAAGCUUAAAACUCAAAGGAAUUGACGGGGACCCGCACAAGCGGUGGAACAUGUGGUUUAAUUCGUAGCUAAGCGAAAGACCUCACCGAGGCUUGACAUCCUGGUCGUAUUCUAUGGAAACAUAGAAGUCAUUUAGUUGGACCAGUGACAGGUGUUGCAUGGCUGUCGUCAGCUCGUGUCGUGAGAUGUUGGGUUAAGUCCUUCGACGAGCGCAACCCUCAUUGUAUGUUAAUUUUUCAUACGAAACUGCCCUGGUUAACGGGGAGGAAGGUGGGGAUGACGUCAAGUCAGCAUGGCCCUUACGCCUCGGGCCACACACGUGUUACAAUGGCCGGAACAAUGGGUUGCAAUAUCGUAAGAUGGAGCUAAUCCCCAAAUCCGGUCCCAGUUCGGAUUGAGGGCUGAAAUUCGCCCUCAUGAAGUCGGAAUCGCU
This 763-nucleotide ribosomal RNA is filed under the name uncultured candidate division WS5 bacterium. RNAcentral's name for it is "bacterial SSU rRNA". It matches the Rfam family "Bacterial small subunit ribosomal RNA", at positions 560 to 1336 of the family's 1533-position model. The record is from RNAcentral.